GGUUCAAUAGUGUAGUGGUUAGCACGACUGCCUCGGAAAGCUGAGAGUCCUGGGUUCGAUUCCCAGAGGAACCA
Non-coding RNA from Cynoglossus semilaevis (tongue sole), 74 nucleotides. The record is from the annotation of a RefSeq genome assembly. Lineage: Eukaryota; Metazoa; Chordata; Actinopteri; Pleuronectiformes; Cynoglossidae.